AUCCAGCUGGGAGACGAGUGUCAAAUAGGACGAAAUGCACAUCCUGGAU
Molecule: non-coding RNA, 49 nt
Filed under: Trichobilharzia regenti
Lineage: Eukaryota; Metazoa; Platyhelminthes; Trematoda; Strigeidida; Schistosomatidae
Source: RNAcentral